GACGAACGCUGGCGGCGUGCUUAACACAUGCAAGUCGAACGGAAAGGCCCUGCUUGCGGGGUACUCGAGUGGCGAACGGGUGAGUAACACGUGGGUGAUCUGCCCUGCACUUCGGGAUAAGCCUGGGAAACUGGGUCUAAUACCGGAUAUGACCUUCCAUGUAGUGGGGGGGGUGGAAAGAUUUAUCGGUGUGGGAUGAGCCCGCGGCCUAUCAGCUUGUUGGUGGGGUAAUGGCCUACCAAGGCGUCGACGGGUAGCCGGCCUGAGAGGGUGGACGGCCACAUUGGGACUGAGAUACGGCCCAGACUCCUACGGGAGGCAGCAGUGGGGAAUAUUGCACAAUGGGCGGAAGCCUUAUGCAGCGACGCCGCGUGGGGGAUGACGGCCUUCGGGUUGUAAACCUCUUUCGACAGGGACGAAGCUUCGGUGACGGUACCUGUAUAAGAAGCACCGGCUAACUACGUG
This 465-nucleotide ribosomal RNA is filed under the name uncultured bacterium. RNAcentral describes it as "partial 16S ribosomal RNA". It matches the Rfam family "Bacterial small subunit ribosomal RNA", at positions 28 to 507 of the family's 1533-position model. The record is from RNAcentral.